AUUCCUACGGGAGGCAGCAGUGGGAAUAUUGCACAAUGGGCGAAAGCCUGAUGCAGCGACGCCGCGUGGGGAUGACGGCCUUCGGGUUGUAAACCUCUUUCAGUAGGGAAGAAGCGAAAGUGACGGUACCUGCAGAAGAAGCGCCGGCUAACUACGUGCCAGCAGCCGCGGUAAUACGUAGGGCGCAAGCGUUGUCCGGAAUUAUUGGGCGUAAAGAGCUCGUAGGUGGCUUGUCGCGUCUGCCGUGAAAACCCGAGGCUCAACCUCGGGCGUGCGGUGGGUACGGGCAGGCUAGAGUGUGGUAGGGGAGACUGGAACUCCUGGUGUAGCGGUGAAAUGCGCAGAUAUCAGGAAGAACACCGAUGGCGAAGGCAGGUCUCUGGGCCAUUACUGACACUGAGGAGCGAAAGCAUGGGUAGCGAGCAGGAUUAGAUACCCUGGUAGUCCAUGCCGUAAACGUUGGGCACUAGAUGUGGGGGACAUUCCACGUUUUCCGCGUCGUAGCUAACGCAUUAAGUGCCCCGCCUGGGGAGUACGGCCGCAAGGCUAAAACUCAAAGGAAUUGACGGGGGCCCGCACAAGCGGCGGAGCAUGCUGAUUAAUUCGAUGCAACGCGAAGAACCUUACCAAGGCUUGACAUGCACCGGACGGCCGCAGAGAUGUGGCUUUCUUCGGACUGGUGCACAGGUGGUGCAUGGUUGUCGUCAGCUCGUGUCGUGAGAUGUUGGGUUAAGUCCCGCAACGAGCGCAACCCUUGUUCUAUGUUGCCAGCACGUCAUGGUGGGGACUCAUAGGAGACUGCCGGGGUCAACUCGGAGGAAGGUGGGGACGACGUCAAAUCAUCAUGCCCCUUAUGUCUUGGGCUUCAAGCAUGCUACAAUGGUCGGUACAAUGGGUUGCGAAACUGUGAGGUGGAGCGAAUCCCAAAAAGCCGGCCUCAGUUCGGAUUGGGGUCUGCAACUCGACCCCAUGAAGUNGGAGUCGCUAGUAAUCGCAGAUCAG
This 1002-nucleotide ribosomal RNA is filed under the name uncultured bacterium. RNAcentral describes it as "bacterial SSU rRNA". It matches the Rfam family "Bacterial small subunit ribosomal RNA", at positions 335 to 1352 of the family's 1533-position model. The record is from RNAcentral.